RNAcentral lists this ribosomal RNA (242 nucleotides) under uncultured bacterium. Its description in RNAcentral is "partial small subunit ribosomal RNA". It matches the Rfam family "Bacterial small subunit ribosomal RNA", at positions 26 to 285 of the family's 1533-position model. The record is from RNAcentral.
AGAAUCAACGCUGGCGGCGUGCCUAACACAUGCAAGUCGCACGAGAAAGGGGAGCAAUCCCUGAGUAAAGUGGCGCACGGGUGAGUAACACGUGAAUUAUCUACCUCCGAGUGGGGAAUAACCAAAAGAAAUUUUGGCUAAUACCGCAUAACACUUACGAGUCAAAGCAGCAAUGCGCUUGGAGAGGAGUUCGCGGCAGAUUAGCUAGUUGCGGGUAAUGGCCCACAAGGCGAUGAUCUGUA